RNAcentral lists this ribosomal RNA (476 nucleotides) under uncultured bacterium. Its description in RNAcentral is "bacterial SSU rRNA". It matches the Rfam family "Bacterial small subunit ribosomal RNA", at positions 20 to 518 of the family's 1533-position model. The record is from RNAcentral.
UGGCUCAGGACGAACGCUGGCGGCGUGCUUAACACAUGCAAGUUGAACGGUAUGACAUGGAAGCUUGCUGAAGUGUCAUAUAGUAGCGGACGGGUGAGUAAUGCAUGAGAAGCUGCCAUUGGGAGGGGGACAACAGUUGGAAACGGCUGCUAAUACCCCGUAUGCCGGAAGGUGAAAGGGAGCGAUCCGCCCGAUGAGGUGCUCAUGUCCUAUCAGCUGGUUGGUGGGGUAACGGCCUACCAAGGCGACGACGGGUAGCCGGCCUGAGAGGGUGAACGGCCACACUGGAACUGAGAUACGGUCCAGACUCCUACGGGAGGCAGCAGUGGGGAAUAUUGGGCCAAUGGGGGCAACCCUGACCCAGCGACGCCGCGUGGGGGAAGACGGCCUUCGGGUUGUAAACCUCUUUUGUACGGGAAGAAGGAAGUGACGGUACUGUACGAAUAAGUCCCGGCUAACUACGUGCCAGCAGCGGC